Molecule: long non-coding RNA, 204 nt
Filed under: Carica papaya (papaya)
Lineage: Eukaryota; Viridiplantae; Streptophyta; Magnoliopsida; Brassicales; Caricaceae
Description: long non-coding RNA (CPAP_LNC007177)
Source: RNAcentral
GACAUAGUAUAAGAAAUAAAAUUAUAUGACAUUUGAAGUUUGGAGGUGAGGGGAGCGGCAAUCAACUGUAGAUUCACGUUGGAACUAGUAAGAUUGAACAGAUCUGUGUAAAGAAGACGAACAAAUGGGCUGAUGUUACCAAAUAACAAAAACAAACCAAGAGAGGAAAAAGUGAUUGAUUGAUGUUUCUUUACAUUUUUUACG